GACGAACGCUGGCGGCGUGCUUAACACAUGCAAGUCGUACGGUAAGGCCCUUUCGGGGGUCCACGCGUGGCGAACGGGUGAGUAACACGUGAGUAACCUGCCCACAACUUUGGGAUAACGCUAGGAAACUGGUGCUAAUACUGGAUAUGUGCUCCUGCUGCAUGGUGGGGGUUGGAAAGCUUCGGCGGUUGUGGAUGGACUCGCGGCCUAUCAGCUUGUUGGUGGGGUAGUGGCCUACCAAGGCGGCGACGGGUAGCCGGCCUGAGAGGGUGACCGGCCACAUUGGGACUGAGAUACGGCCCAGACUCCGACGGGAGGCAGCAGUGGGGAAUAUUGCACAAUGGGCGCAAGCCUGAUGCAGCAACGCCGCGUGCGGGAUGACGGCCUUCGGGUUGUAAACCGCGUUCAGCAGGGACGAAGCUUUUUGUGACGGUACCUGCAGAAGAAGCACCGGCUAACUACGUG
Molecule: ribosomal RNA, 465 nt
Filed under: uncultured bacterium
Lineage: Bacteria
Description: partial 16S ribosomal RNA
Rfam family: Bacterial small subunit ribosomal RNA
Source: RNAcentral